CUCAGUAACGGCGAGUGAAGCGGUAACAGCUCAAAUUUGAAAGCUAGCUCUUUUAGGGUUCGCAUUGUAAUUUGUAGAAGAUGCUUCGGGUGUGGCCCCGGUCUAAGUUCCUUGGAACAGGACGUCAUAGAGGGUGAGAAUCCCGUAUGUGACUGGGUGCUUUCGCUCAUGUGAAGCUCUUUCGACGAGUCGAGUUGUUUGGGAAUGCAGCUCAAAAUGGGUGGUAAAUUUCAUCUAAAGCUAAAUAUUGGCCAGAGACCGAUAGCGCACAAGUAGAGUGAUCGAAAGAUGAAAAGCACUUUGGAAAGAGAGUUAAACAGUACGUGAAAUUGUUGAAAGGGAAGCGCUUGCAACCAGACUUGCGCGCUGAUGAUCAUCCGGGCUUCUGUCCGGUGCACUCGUCUGCGCUCAGGCCAGCAUCGGUUUCGGUGGUGGGAUAAAGGCCUUGGGAAUGUAGCUCCUCUCGGGGAGUGUUAUAGCCCUCGGUGCAAUGCCGCCUACCGGGACCGAGGACCGCGCUUCGGCUAGGAUGCUGGCGUAAUGGUUGUAAGCGACCCGUCUUGAAACACGGACCAAGGAGUCUAACAUCUAUGCGAGUGUUUGGGUGUCAAACCCAUACGCGUAAUGAAAGUGAACGGAGGUGAGAACCCUUAAGGGUGCAUCAUCGACCGAUCCUGAUGUCUUCGGAUGGAUUUGAGUAAGAGCAUAGCUGUUGGGACCCGAAAGAUGGUGAACUAUGCGUGAAUAGGGUGAAGCCAGAGGAAACUCUGGUGGAGGCUCGCAGCGGUUCUGACGUGCAAAUCGAUCGUCAAAUUUGCGUAUAGGGGCGAAAGACUAAUCGAACCAUCUAGUAGCU
This 856-nucleotide ribosomal RNA is filed under the name Cadophora fallopiae. RNAcentral's name for it is "partial large subunit ribosomal RNA". It matches the Rfam family "Eukaryotic large subunit ribosomal RNA", at positions 79 to 952 of the family's 3401-position model. The record is from RNAcentral. Lineage: Eukaryota; Fungi; Ascomycota; Leotiomycetes; Helotiales; Ploettnerulaceae.